GCAAGUCGAGCGGGCAUAGCAAUAUGUCAGCGGCAGACGGGUGAGUAACGCGUGGGAACGUACCUUUUGGUUCGGAACAACUGAGGGAAACUUCAGCUAAUACCGGAUAAGCCCUUACGGGGAAAGAUUUAUCGCCGAAAGAUCGGCCCGCGUCUGAUUAGCUAGUUGGUGAGGUAAUGGCUCACCAAGGCGACGAUCAGUAGCUGGUCUGAGAGGAUGAUCAGCCACAUUGGGACUGAGACACGGCCCAAACUCCUACGGGAGGCAGCAGUGGGGAAUAUUGGACAAUGGGCGCAAGCCUGAUCCAGCCAUGCCGCGUGAGUGAUGAAGGCCCUAGGGUUGUAAAGCUCUUUUGUGCGGGAAGAUAAUGACGGUACCGCAAGAAUAAGCCCCGGCUAACUUCGUGCCAGCAGCCGCGGUAAUACGAAGGGGGCUAGCGUUGCUCGGAAUCACUGGGCGUAAAGGGUGCGUAGGCGGGUCUUUAAGUCAGGGGUGAAAUCCUGGAGCUCAACUCCAGAACUGCCUUUGAUACUGAAGAUCUUGAGUUCGGGAGAGGUGAGUGGAACUGCGAGUGUAGAGGUGAAAUUCGUAGAUAUUCGCAAGAACACCAGUGGCGAAGGCGGCUCACUG
RNAcentral lists this ribosomal RNA (630 nucleotides) under Bradyrhizobium elkanii. Its description in RNAcentral is "bacterial SSU rRNA". It matches the Rfam family "Bacterial small subunit ribosomal RNA", at positions 57 to 731 of the family's 1533-position model. The record is from RNAcentral. Lineage: Bacteria; Pseudomonadati; Pseudomonadota; Alphaproteobacteria; Hyphomicrobiales; Nitrobacteraceae.